GUCGAGGAUUUUUCUCAAUGGGGGAAACCCUGAAGGAGCGACGCCGCGUGGGGGAUGAAGGUCUUCGGAUUGUAAACCCCUGUCAUCCGGGAUCAAUGCUUACGGUCUAACAAACCGUGAGUUGAUAGUACCGGAAGAGGAAGCAGUGGCUAACUCUGUGCCAGCAGCCGCGGUAAUACAGAGACUGCAAGCGUUGUUCGGAUUCAUUGGGCGUAAAGGGUCCGCAGGCGGUCGGGUAAGUCGGAUGUGAAAGCUCGUGGCCUAACCACGAAAUGUCAUUCGAAACUGCCCGGCUCGAGGGCUGGAGAGGAGACUAGAAUUGCUGGUGUAGCGGUGAAAUGCGUAGAGAUCAGCAAGAAUACCAGUGGCGAAGGCGGGUCUCUGGACAGUUCCUGACGCUCAUGGACGAAAGCCAGGGGAGCAAACGGGAUUAGAUACCCUAGUAGUCC
Molecule: ribosomal RNA, 449 nt
Filed under: uncultured bacterium
Lineage: Bacteria
Description: bacterial SSU rRNA
Rfam family: Bacterial small subunit ribosomal RNA
Source: RNAcentral